This is a long non-coding RNA of Daphnia pulicaria, 512 nucleotides long. RefSeq lists it as uncharacterized. The record is from RefSeq and is a predicted model, not a curated record. The transcript is spliced from 6 exons. Lineage: Eukaryota; Metazoa; Arthropoda; Branchiopoda; Diplostraca; Daphniidae.
GUAUAUAUAAUCACAGUGACUGUGUUUCUACUUCAAGCCUGCGACUGGCAUCUGGAUUUUCAUAGCCAGUUUGUAGUGUACUAUCGAAAGGACUGCAUUCCCUUCUUCGAGCCCAUGACUGGCAUCAGGAUUAUCAUAGUCAGCCUGUAGUGUACAAUCGAGGUGAGUGCCUGCCUUCCUCACUUGCGGCCCAUGACUGGCAUCAGGAAUUUAAUUGUCAGCCUGUAGUGUAUUAUCGAAAGGACUGCAUUUCCUUCUUCGAGCCCAUGACUGGCCUCAGGAUUAUCAUAGUCAGCCUGUAGUUUACAAUCGAAUUGAGUGCCUUCCUCACUUUCGACCUACGACUGGCAUCAGGAAUUUAAUUGUCAGCCUGUAGUGUUCCGUCGAAGUUACUCCGUUUCUCGCUUCCAGCCAACGACCGGCAUCAGGACUUUAAUUGUCAGGUAAAUUGUUUUUAUUGUACCUUUUUUCCAUUAGAACAUGUUUAUAGCACGUUUUAUUACCUGCUAUAA